UGCUAUAUUUCAAAAAUAUGUAGC
Molecule: non-coding RNA, 24 nt
Filed under: Arabidopsis thaliana (thale cress)
Lineage: Eukaryota; Viridiplantae; Streptophyta; Magnoliopsida; Brassicales; Brassicaceae
Source: RNAcentral